GGGCCCGCACAAGCAGUGGAGCAUGUGGUUUAAUUCGAUGCAACGCGAAGAACCUUACCAGGCCUUGACAUCCAUAGAACUUUCCAGAGAUGGAUUGGUGCCUUCGGGAACUCUGAGACAGGUGCUGCAUGGCUGUCGUCAGCUCGUGUUGUGAAAUGUUGGGUUAAGUCCCGCAACGAGCGCAACCCUUAUCCUUGUUUGCCAGCGAGUAAUGUCGGGAACUCCAGGGAGACUGCCGGUGAUAAACCGGAGGAAGGUGGGGACGACGUCAAGUCAUCAUGGCCCUUACGAGUAGGGCUACACACGUGCUACAAUGGCGCAUACAGAGGGCGGCCAACUUGCGAGAGUGAGCGAAUCCAAAAAGUGCGUCGUAGUCCGGAUCGGAGUCUGCAACUCGACUCCGUGAAGUCGGAAUCGCUAGUAAUCG
RNAcentral lists this ribosomal RNA (427 nucleotides) under uncultured bacterium. Its description in RNAcentral is "bacterial SSU rRNA". It matches the Rfam family "Bacterial small subunit ribosomal RNA", at positions 917 to 1344 of the family's 1533-position model. The record is from RNAcentral.